This 339-nucleotide unclassified non-coding RNA is filed under the name soil metagenome. RNAcentral's name for it is "partial contains 5.8S ribosomal RNA, internal transcribed spacer 2, and large subunit ribosomal RNA". The stretch from base 1 to 120 matches the Rfam family "5.8S ribosomal RNA", at positions 35 to 154 of the family's 154-position model. The record is from RNAcentral.
GAUGAAGAACGAAGCGAAAUGCGAUACGUAAUGUGAAUUGCAGAAUUCAGUGAAUCAUCGAAUCUUUGAACGCACAUUGCACCUCUCGGUAUUCCGGGAGGUAUGCCUGUUCGAGCGUCAUUUGUACCCUCAAGCUCUGCUUGGUGUUGGGUGUUUGUUCCGCCUCUGUGUGUGAACUCGCCUCAAAACAAUUGGCAGCCGGCGUACUUGUUUCGGAGCGCAGCACAUUUUGCGAUCCAGAUCAACGUACAGCGGCAUCCAAGAAGCCUUAUUUAACGCUCUUGACCUCGGAUCAGGUAGGGAUACCCGCUGAACUUAAGCAUAUCAAUAAGCGGAGGA